Molecule: non-coding RNA, 90 nt
Filed under: marine eukaryotic metagenome
Source: RNAcentral
UGUCAGCAAUGACAGCGGUGAUCGGGUAGAAGUCAGCAGACGGCAUAGUAGCCAAAUGCCCAUCGUAAUGGUUGGGACACGGUGAAGGCC